Molecule: long non-coding RNA, 371 nt
Filed under: Homo sapiens (human)
Lineage: Eukaryota; Metazoa; Chordata; Mammalia; Primates; Hominidae
Description: HSALNT0129864
Source: RNAcentral
AGAGGACGAGGAGAGCAAGAGGGACCGCCAGGGACUACUCAGGCAGUGGACAGUUCCAUGGCUUCUUCUAAGAGAACAAGGCAGUCAAGAAGAGUCAGGUCCAUUUGGGAAGAGAGACGUCCAUGGCCUCGGCCACCAGGUGGCAUCACUGUCCCUUCUGGAAGAGCAGCGUGUCUGGGAAGCCACAUCCGUCUACAGCUCCCGUUCCUCCCUAGCCUCCACUCUAGGGCAAGGGCCCAGCCUUUCACUAGGAGGCCUCACUCCCUGAACCCGAGGCACCGGCUCCGCCUCCUCCCCUCACAGUCCUCAUGUGUCGUCAGUCCCGCUCCGAGGAGCACCUCAUUUCUGUUGCCCAUCACCACUCCUCUUAG